GACGAACGCUGGCGGCGUGCUUAACACAUGCAAGUCGAACGGAAAGGCCCUGCUUUUGUGGGGUGCUCGAGUGGCGAACGGGUGAGUAACACGUGAGUAACCUGCCCUUGACUUUGGGAUAACUUCAGGAAACUGGGGCUAAUACCGGAUAGGAGCUCCUGCUGCAUGGUGGGGGUUGGAAAGUUUCGGCGGUUGGGGAUGGACUCGCGGCUUAUCAGCUUGUUGGUGGGGUAGUGGCUUACCAAGGCUUUGACGGGUAGCCGGCCUGAGAGGGUGACCGGCCACAUUGGGACUGAGAUACGGCCCAGACUCAUACGGGAGGCAGCAGUGGGGAAUAUUGCACAAUGGGCGGAAGCCUGAUGCAGCAACGCCGCGUGCGGGAUGACGGCCUUCGGGUUGUAAACCGCUUUCGCCUGUGACGAAGCGUGAGUGACGGUAAUGGGUAAAGAAACACCGGCUAACUACGU
Molecule: ribosomal RNA, 467 nt
Filed under: uncultured bacterium
Lineage: Bacteria
Description: partial 16S ribosomal RNA
Rfam family: Bacterial small subunit ribosomal RNA
Source: RNAcentral